UACGGAGGGUGCAAGCGUUGUCCGGAAUUAUUGGGCGUAAAGAGCUCGUAGGCGGCUCGUCGCGUCGGCUGUGAAAACCUGGGGCUCAACCCCGGGCCUGCAGCCGAUACGGGCGAGCUAGAAUUCGGUAGGGGAGACUGGAAUUCCUGGUGUAGCGGUGAAAUGCGUAGAGAUCCGGAGGAACACCAAAGGCGAAGGCAGUGUCCUGGGGAGUACCUGACGCUCAGGUGCGAAAGCCAGGGGAGCGAACGGG
Molecule: ribosomal RNA, 253 nt
Filed under: uncultured bacterium
Lineage: Bacteria
Description: partial 16S ribosomal RNA
Rfam family: Bacterial small subunit ribosomal RNA
Source: RNAcentral